AGAGUUUGAUCCUGGCUCAGGAUGAACGCUGGCGGCGUGCUUAACACAUGCAAGUCGAACGAUGAUGCCAGCUUGCUGGUGGAUUAGUGGCGAACGGGUGAGUAACACGUGAGUAACCUGCCCCUGAUUUCGGGAUAAGCCUGGGAAACUGGGUCUAAUACCGGAUAUGACCACCGGCCGCAUGGUUGGUGGUGGAAAGUUUUUCGAUUGGGGAUGGGCUCGCGGCCUAUCAGCUUGUUGGUGGGGUAAUGGCCUACCAAGGCGACGACGGGUAGCCGGCCUGAGAGGGCGACCGGCCACACUGGGACUGAGACACGGCCCAGACUCCUACGGGAGGCAGCAGUGGGGAAUAUUGCACAAUGGGCGCAAGCCUGAUGCAGCGACGCCGCGUGAGGGAUGACGGCCUUCGGGUUGUAAACCUCUUUCAGUAGGGAAGAAAACCUCCGUCCUAAUACGGUGGGGGGAUGACGGUACCGGAAGAAUAAGCACCGGCUAACUACGUGCCAGCCGCCGCGGUAAUUC
RNAcentral lists this ribosomal RNA (522 nucleotides) under uncultured bacterium. RNAcentral's name for it is "bacterial SSU rRNA". It matches the Rfam family "Bacterial small subunit ribosomal RNA", at positions 8 to 526 of the family's 1533-position model. The record is from RNAcentral.